GAUGAACGCUGGCGGCGUGCUUAACACAUGCAAGUCGAACGAUAAAGCCCAGCUUGCUGGGUGGAUUAGUGGCGAACGGGUGAGUAACACGUGAGUAACCUGCCCUUGGCUCUGGGAUAAGCCCGGGAAACUGGGUCUAAUACCGGAUAGGAGCGCCUGUCGCAUGACGGGUGUUGGAAAGAUUUUUCGGUCAUGGAUGGACUCGCGGCCUAUCAGCUUGUUGGUGAGGUAAUGGCUCACCAAGGCGACGACGGGUAGCCGGCCUGAGAGGGUGACCGGCCACACUGGGACUGAGACACGGCCCAGACUCCUACGGGAGGCAGCAGUGGGGAAUAUUGCACAAUGGGCGGAAGCCUGAUGCAGCGACGCCGCGUGAGGGAUGACGGCCUUCGGGUUGUAAACCUCUUUCAGUAGGGAAGAAGCGAAAGUGACGUACCUGCA
Molecule: ribosomal RNA, 441 nt
Filed under: Micrococcus sp. oral taxon F54
Lineage: Bacteria; Bacillati; Actinomycetota; Actinomycetes; Micrococcales; Micrococcaceae
Description: bacterial SSU rRNA
Rfam family: Bacterial small subunit ribosomal RNA
Source: RNAcentral